This 2447-nucleotide long non-coding RNA is filed under the name Marmota monax (woodchuck). The record is from RNAcentral. Lineage: Eukaryota; Metazoa; Chordata; Mammalia; Rodentia; Sciuridae.
GUCUGGGCUCUCAGUCCCGACUAGGACCCAUCGCCCUGUCUACCUAGCGCGGGGCCAGGCGCGUAAAUGCGCCCGGGGCGCAGCGGGAUGAACCCCGGGAGCCCGAGGUCCUGGCCUCCGCCUCCCAGACUCGUCUGAGUCCUGAGUCCAGAGCGGGACUGCAGCUGCGGGCGCUCCCGGUCACCCGGAGUCGCCGGAACCCUCUCGGGGGUCGCCACCGCAGCAAGCUCUGUCUUCUUGCCCGGCCCGCCUCCCCCGCGGGAGGUAGAGCCGGCCGCUUCCUUCUUGAGCACCGGGUGGAGGACGGGUCCGGCAGUGUCUCAGAGGGUCCGUGGGUCCAGGGCGUGCUGGACAGGUCUCAGCGCCCGGCUCUAGCUGCCCUCGGGCAGGUGCCGCCGCCGCCGCCUGCUCUCGGCUUCUGGCGGUGAUUGUCAAGUGCUUUGGAAAUCAGCAUCUGGAGAGAGCAAUCUUCUCCCCUGAGAUCGCUAAUCAAAGCGCUGCGUUCCCACCCCACUACACCCCCACCACCUAUGUGGUCUCCCUCCUAUGUAUCUCUUUAGAACGGAAAAAAAAAAGUAUUUAUAAUAAUGAUUUAAAAUAAUAAAACGAAAGCUAGAAAGGAUUGCAGGGCGUGAGGUGAUAAAACGCAGAGCCAAAGCAGGUGGAAUGGAAGGAAUAUCGUGCGCUUUUUCUUAGAAGAAACUCGCAGGUUUCUGAGGCUGCCGCGGCUUAGCUGAAGCUUCUGGGUCUGAACGUGGCUUCUGGUCCACAGAAACUCUGAGCAGCGGUUGGAGGGCGAGGUGGUUUCUGCUCUCUGGGUUAAUCCCUUUAGCACCAAAGUCCCCCCACUGCUGCUAGGAGGUGGGAAAAAGGAGACCAGGAGGGAGGAGAGUAUGUCUGGAAGAAGGAAGUGCCUCUGCUCCUCACCUAGUCUACUCAAACUUGCUGAACUCUCCCUUCCUGUGUUAGGAAGGGUAGGUUUAUCGUUUUGAAACGGCAACACAGAGCAAAAAGAGAGAAGAGAAGCCAGGCAAAAUGUUAUUAUGUACUAUGGAAAGACCCCAUUCCCCAAACUCCUGGCCAGCCCUUGGAGCAGGAAAUGACAGCCGCUGCCCGCGGAUGGAAUCAGCAGCUGGAUAGGAUCAAUGUCCAGGAGAAUAUUGAAGAAGACAGGACAGAAAUAUUGGGGGUAUGGGAAAGGGGAAAGAAAGAAUGUCGCAGCAUUCUAGUGACAGCAAAAAGCAACCAGACGGAGGACACUCUAAUAUGAACUGCCGUCUUUUGGCAAGCUCUGUUACGGAGCAAAGCCAUAUGAACUGCGCCUGAAAUUCAAAUAUAACAGCUGCUGCCUCCUCCCUUCGGCUUUCUGCCUGUGACCUGACAGUGCUGUCUUGGAUAAUAUGAAAAUAUGAAAGUCCAAGAGGAAAGGAGAGGAUGGAGGGCACCUGCAAAAAGGAGGUUGGGAGAGAAACACUUUAUGCUUGGAUGAACACCGAUUUUGUGGUUUCUAGGAUACACUGGAGUGGCUGAACCAAGCGUGGCUUUUGCUCCAGGCUUCUUCCCUAUAUUUUGCUUAUCAUCACAGGAAGGUAAAGCAAAAGAAAUGUAAAACGAGAGUUCUUAUAAUUCAGUGCAAAGACAGAGAAAGAAGACUCAUUUGAUAAUCAAGAGACUUGUAAAAAUCUUCUCCGGUGACUGCGUUAGAGCUGAAAGGGGACACACACUGCACACACAGCCCUGGGAGCAGUUCUGAACCAAAACAUACUUUUUCUUUGUCUCAGGAAUAGGCAGAAAGUACUACAAAGACUCGCCACCAGGCAAGAGGGAGAAUUGCCGCCAAGAACUGGUCACAGGGAGUCUGGACACCUGCUUCACACACUUAUUCAUGGCCUCUCCAAGAAGCAGGCGCUGCUCCACUGCUAUUUAUUAUGUUUACUCUGUAUUUACUAACAAGUCUCCUUUGGGAAAGAUAAUUUUAUCUAAUGGGGAGGGGGUGUGAAGAUUUGGGUUCAGUGCAGAUGACACUGACUUUAGGAUAAUGCAUAACAUUUAACAUUAAAGGGCAUACUCUGUAAAUUUAUUUUCUUCACCUUGCUGUUACAUCUAAGAAAGACCUUAAUUGCUUAAAGGAAUAUAGCAGCUACUUUGCCAAAGAUUUGCAGUUUCUGAUUACCAGGAGAUAGUAAAAGUGGGGAAAAUGGGAUGCUAAUUAUUUUUGUCCUGCUUUUAUGACUUUAUUUUCUGUGUCAUAUGUCUUUGUUCUUCCAUUUUCAGUGAGUAUGUAUUUAUAUUGUAUUGCCCUGUACCUGCCUAUAAAGAGGAGAGCCAUCUAUACAGAAAUGGACAUGCCUAAUAAAAUGCCUAUUGACAUAUAUCUGCCCUUUUCUGGUUCACUGGAAAAGCCCCACUGAACAUUAAGAGCCAUUACUCUUGACUUUCAUUAUUAA